AGGAACUUAGGUUAAAGAAACAUUAGUCGUUCCGACGAUUCAAAUGAAAAAGCGGCGAAAAUAAACAAUCGUUGGCUUCGAAAAUUUGAGUUAGUGUUACCAAGCUUCGCUUAUACAAGCUAAACGUCGUGUUCUUCCAACCUAAUCGAAUCGUCAACGGCCCUGGUGAUUUGAUCUACUGGAAGCAAUCUCUUUGAGAUUUUUCGUUUACCACCUGUUUUGCAAUUGAGAAAGCUUCCGGGAUGUUGAAUGAAACCACGGAUGCACCAUAUCUUCAUGAGGCGCAUAGCGGUGGGGUGGUCGCAGAGUCAGUUGUUGCGGAGCUGGAUGGUUGGUUCUGAUGAAAAUGAAGAAACACGAAGAAAAAUAAGAGAAUAAAGUCAACGCUGUUCUGCAUAUGGAACGUGGACCCAGAACGCCCGGGCGUCACUCACAUUGGUACUUCGUAUUACCCAUAUUUAGUGGGUCUCUGUAGAAAUAUUGCUACACAAUUCGCUUGUUCAGCACAUGAAGACGAUUGUUCCCCUCAAUACUGACUAAUUAUCAUCUUGAUAAAAAUUCCUUGGGGACGUACAGCUGAAAGUAGCGAAUUCGCCAGAGAUCAUUUAGGCAAGAAAAGCAGCAGCCAAUAUUACAAGAUAGUUUCACAAUGUAGUUUGUUUACCGAACCCCGAGGUUCCGGUUUUCGCUUACUGUCAACGUUCUAUCCGCCAUGACAUUAAAAUCUGUCUGCCUAUACACAAACACGUGUAAAGUACUUUCAUGCCUGCCCCAUAGCUCAUCCUAAUAAUACUGGAUGACACUAAAAACAACGAGAAAUAACUUACUCUCAUAGCCGUAUUGCUAAUUUUUUUUAAUGAAAAAACCGUUAUGAUUGAUGUGAGAAGGGUGAUGCGUUUGAAGUAUGUACAUCAGGAUAUUACAUGUUAUUAUCGAAAUUAAGUUUACCACCAAACUCUGGUCCUAAUUCGAGGGAUCAUACAGCAACGAUCGGCGGAUCUAAAUUUCAUUUCUCGAAAAAAAGGAGCAGAUGACAAAGAAGUAGUGCCACGAGGGAGAAAAGGAGAAUAUGAAGGGCGAACCAUAAGGCAGUUAUGCCGUAGCGAUCUCUGUGGCAAGGGACACUGCCGAAUUCUUGGUAACGAGAGGAGAUCGCACCUAAUUUAUGUGGCGUCUGCAUAACUUAAAUUUGUUGCCACGCUUGACCUAGGCAUUGAAACUAACUGUGAAUCACAUACGUACAGCUCUGAUCGGGCAGCUCUCUGAUGUCAUCGUAUGUGGUGCUCUCUGCUGUUCAGGGUUGUCGAAAGAAUAUAGAAGUACCGCAAAAAGAUGUGCCUAAGUGUUCCGAACAAUGAAGCGCGAAAUUGUAAAUUUUAUGAUAAAAUUUCGAUCUAGUGAAUGGAUUUCCGUGACACAGGCAUUACUUGUAGAAGGACAUCGUUUAUGCGAGCAUUUAGAAAAAAGAAUGAGUGGGAGAUGCAAAGAUCGAGAAUUAACGAGACUUGUCGCAGUUGGUACCAGCAGAGAACGGCUCAGACACGAACACAGGCCGGCCGCGGGGUGAAAUAGGAUAACUUGCGUGCUAUCCUAAGGCCAAGCAAGGAAGAAGAGACAGAAAGAGGCUACAGGAGCGAGAUACAUGCAGCAGGCAAAAACGUAUUAUCAGAGGACAGGACAGUGGAGGCCUGAUAUAGAAAAAGAGACACAGUGGGUCCGUAGAGAAAUAAGAGGGGGUUAACUGGCUAAAUGGCCUUUGAUAGUGGCUGUGGGUAAGGGCCGAGGAUCGGUAAAGCUGAACGUUAUCCAUCGCAUGCUAAAGCGCUGCAUCAAUCUUAUUAUUAUGACUUUACUUCGGGGCGAUUAAACUAAGCGAAGGAAGAGGCAAAAACAUUGGAGAACUGCACAAACGUUCCAUGCGAAAAAUAUUUAACGGGAUUAGGUAGCCCUAGAUAUACUUGUUAAAUGAGAAGAUCAAACGGAAAGAGAGCAGGAGAGACCUGGAAUUGUUCGUAGACAGGUAAGUAAUUUAUCUUUGUGCCAUAGUUGAUCUCUUCAGCAUGGUUAAGCGCGUUAUGUACUGGCGUAAACAAAUGUCCUUUUCAUGCUUUUACUGAUGCCUUGAUGAGCUUGCCCUUAGUACCGAUGUAACAAAUAUACUCAGCGGUCGACACUUCCUGUAGACUUCACUGCAGUACCUAGCUAACAGCAAACAUUUUUGUGCUAUCAUACAGUGUCAGUGUGCUGUAGGACGAGAUCCAAUCUAUUGACUGACUCAAGUUUAGCACUCAAGGAUAACUGAACUGCGGACAAACAUACCUUGUAAAUCAUAGUCAGUUCUAAUUGUAAUUAAUCGAUCCUUAUCAGUUAAUUAGUUAAUCCUUAUUAAUCAGUUAGUAAAAAAGAGAAGAAUACAAUUGGUCGUGAACUAGACUAGUCAGUCAUCAAACGUUGCUUAUAACCCCCUGGCGGCAGUGUUUUCAAAUCUACAUAUGAUAUUAGGAUUAGCCUUUUUAUGAGAUAUUUGGGAAGUCACAAUGUAUUGGGAAAAAGCAGUGUAAGUCCUGCCGGUAUUAUUUUUAGAAAGUGAUAUAUGACUUAGGUAUCAAACGUAAGAACCUCAGGGUUGGUAAAACUGUAGACUGUAUACCGUAAUAGUACCUACUCCUGCCGAUUGGUCAAUAAAUAGAUGUUAUUUUUAAGAUCGGCAACUUCAAUAUCUUUCACAUAGUUGCGUAACAUCUUGUACGUUAGUGUUAAACAGUACAUACCGCUAAGGCUAUAUAUCAUUUGGGCAAUCGCCAUACACAAUUGGGCUGUUCAGAGCUUCGUAACUUGCGUGGACGAUUUAGCAAGAACCAGUCCUAAACGAGUUUGUUACAUUUUAGCUGUUUGGCAACUCUGGGUGCUUGCUUCUCACGUAGAAGCGACAAGGUUGAUGUUGGCUCAGAUAUAGUAAACCCAGUUAGCGAUACCGGGGUCCUCCCCGGGCUAAGUAUUCGCCCUGCUUUCCUUUUCUUAAUUGUAUAAUGAACGCCGUCUGUUGACGGAUCAAAGGAUCCCUAGUCGAGUGGUAAGAAUCUUAAAUGCGCAGCAUAAUUAAUUAUAUCACAGAACGAAAAAGCUUCUAAUUAAGGAAAAACACCGCUCAUUGCAAGCCACUGUCUAUUUAUUCAAAUUGCGGGCCUUGACAAAAUCGCAGAGACUGCUUGCUUGCAACUUGAAUAAGGCGAACGGCCGAGGCAGUAGUAGUCGCACUUUCAACGCUUCGUGGAGUCUAAUCCUACACAACGUAGAUGCACGUCGUACUGUUCGCUGCGCCGGCAGCUUCUGUCUGUGCUUCUUCCUUCUUUCUCCCGUUUGCCCCCUGCUUUCCCGUUUACUUCCUUUCAUCCAGCUCUUCCACUCUGUUUCUUCUGACCCAAAUCUCUCUUUUUUAUUUUUUCCCUUUCUUUUCCUUUUUCCCAUGAUUUCUGUUUCUCGCCCUCUCGGCCGUCUUUCUUUCUCAAUCACUUGUUCGUUUUUUGUUGCCCCCAUUCUCACGCCCUCUCUUGUCUGCCUCCUCUGCCAUUGCCCUCUUUGGUUGCAGUACGAACCACAGGAUGUUGAUAAUGACGAAGUCGGCGUGCUUGUUCAGUGGUGACGUGGCUACCUACCAGCAUUAUGCAGGACCUCAUGUGAUAUAUAUACAUAUGUUGGGAUCGGUAGUAGAUACAGUAUCCGUAUUGUGGGAUAGGAGUA
RNAcentral lists this long non-coding RNA (3741 nucleotides) under Varroa destructor (honeybee mite). Its description in RNAcentral is "uncharacterized LOC111243150". The record is from RNAcentral. Lineage: Eukaryota; Metazoa; Arthropoda; Arachnida; Mesostigmata; Varroidae.